RNAcentral lists this transfer RNA (68 nucleotides) under Caudoviricetes sp. RNAcentral's name for it is "tRNA-OTHER". It matches the Rfam family "tRNA". From Rfam's summary of the family: Transfer RNA (tRNA) molecules are approximately 80 nucleotides in length. Their secondary structure includes four short double-helical elements and three loops (D, anti-codon, and T loops). Lineage: Duplodnaviria; Heunggongvirae; Uroviricota; Caudoviricetes. The record is from RNAcentral. RNAcentral also lists the same sequence under 1 other name.
GCCCGAUUGGCUAUUGGCAAAGCGCGCCUGUGAAGGUGGCAUUGUCGGUUCGAAUCCGACAUCGGGCA